CCGUGACGUCACACUAGUCAGGAGGUAGUCGGGAAGCGGUCAUUUUACAUAGCGUGUCAGUAUUUUUUCACCUUUGCGAUGGAGUUUGUAUGUUUAAACGAGGACAAAUACGAAGCGAGCCAACUUAAUGUUAAAAACGAGGAGUGCUGUGUCCAGCCAUAUGCGUUUGAGCCGUUAGUUAGGCGUGAAUUACGGGUCAACACCGAGGAAAGUGGAGAAAGUAGGAGUAGCGAUGAUGGCCACGCUAGUAGGCUGACAUCGUCGUCGUCCGACUCAGAAUCUGCCAGUGAAGAGUAUAUUGACGACCGUUCCCAUCGACUGACAAAUACUGACUGGUGCAAAUGUGGCAACUGUGUGAUUAUGCCCACAGUGGAUGAAUGCAAGUGCUGCACAGAAACGCACCUUGUUGAUCAGGAAGUCGAGUCAGCUGGGCUGCAAUGUAUAACCUUACAUGAAGGCUUUCAGGGAAACUGCCUCAACCAGUAUGUCCUCAAGGCAUCUUUUGUUGAAUUUUUGGAGGGACAUGGUCCUCUUGGAAAUGAUGAACCAGUAAACGAGAUUUACAGGUUGGAAAGUUCUCAAAUGGGUGUUCAUGGAUGUCUACAAUGUGGUUCAUCACCAACUUCCACUUGGCCACAACCAGCUCAGCAUUUCCAUCACUGCUUGCCCCACACCAAUAUACAUGGUUGGAGAUGCUGUGGAUCCACGAUGAGCAGCUCUUGCUUUUUUGACCAGAGACUAUUCACAGCUGGAAUAAGUACUACAUCCACUAAACAUUAUGGAAGCGGCUAGCUGUAAGUUGCCAAGUGGCAUGGUGCCAUGUGAUGGCUGACUUUUCCAGGUCUUCACAUGAGAGGGGUCAACACUACACUGUGAUGUCAAGGUCACCAUGGUGCCCGAUACCUUUGUAGAUAUUAUUUUGCAGGCAUUCCCACAUAAAAAACACAAGGCUAGGAGGGACUGAAGACACGAUUCGAAGACUAUGAACUUCCUCUCUCUCAUAGGGGUAACCUGUCCGUGGACCUCGAGCCCCAGAAGGCGGCCCUACAGUCCUUGACCAGCAAUGUUAUGUUCAAGAAAACUGGAGAACUGGAGGACAAAAUAAUAAAAAUAAAUCAGCUACUCCUGAUUCUUCCAAUAGUCCAAAUAAACGGGUUACUCUUAA
Molecule: RNA transcript, 1165 nt
Organism: Fundulus heteroclitus (mummichog)
Lineage: Eukaryota; Metazoa; Chordata; Actinopteri; Cyprinodontiformes; Fundulidae
Exons: 7
Source: RefSeq, a predicted model, not a curated record